CCUUCCGCGCUUCGCUGCGUCGGUAGGUGUUCUGGGACUUUUACUUUGAGAAAAAUAGAGUGUUUCAAGCAGGCUUGUUGCCCUGAAUACUGCAGCAUGGAAUAAUAAGAUAGGACCUCGGUUCUAUUUUGUUGGUUUCUAGGACCAAGGUAAUGAUUAAUAGGGACAGUUGGGGGCAUUCGUAUUUAACUGUCAGAGGUGAAAUUCUUAGAUUUGUUAAAGACGAACUACUGCGAAAGCAUUUGCCAAGGAUGUUUUCAUUAAUCAAGAACGACAGUAGGGGGUUUGAAGACG
RNAcentral lists this ribosomal RNA (294 nucleotides) under Eimeria sp. LBA-2011. RNAcentral describes it as "partial small subunit ribosomal RNA". It matches the Rfam family "Eukaryotic small subunit ribosomal RNA", at positions 712 to 1006 of the family's 1831-position model. Lineage: Eukaryota; Apicomplexa; Conoidasida; Eucoccidiorida; Eimeriidae. The record is from RNAcentral.